Strongylocentrotus purpuratus (purple sea urchin) is the source of this 263-nucleotide long non-coding RNA. RefSeq lists it as uncharacterized. The record is from RefSeq and is a predicted model, not a curated record. The transcript is spliced from 2 exons. Lineage: Eukaryota; Metazoa; Echinodermata; Echinoidea; Camarodonta; Strongylocentrotidae.
AGUGAUCGAUGUGAAUUCAUUUUAUUAAGUCGAUCAAGUAGAUUGAUUAUAUUUAUGUUUAGCGCCAUCUGGAGGCUACUAAAUUCGUGUUAAGAAAUGGCACCCUUUUUGGUUUCCAGUGGAUGAAAUCUAUUGAUAUUGGAGGCAUCCUUGUGUAAGAUGGAAGUUAGAUGCACUUAAGAAGGCAGAAUGAAGUUUUUACGGAGCAUUUGGAGCAACAAGAGAAUUGGAAUAAUAAAGAAAGACCAAUAAACAAAGUCAAA